Molecule: ribosomal RNA, 465 nt
Filed under: Vreelandella stevensii
Lineage: Bacteria; Pseudomonadati; Pseudomonadota; Gammaproteobacteria; Oceanospirillales; Halomonadaceae
Description: partial 16S ribosomal RNA
Rfam family: Bacterial small subunit ribosomal RNA
Source: RNAcentral
CCUACGGGAGGCAGCAGUGGGGAAUAUUGGACAAUGGGCGAAAGCCUGAUCCAGCCAUGCCGCGUGUGUGAAGAAGGCCUUCGGGUUGUAAAGCACUUUCAGUGGGGAAGAAAGCCUUGGGGCUAAUACCCUCGAGGAAGGACAUCACCCACAGAAGAAGCACCGGCUAACUCCGUGCCAGCAGCCGCGGUAAUACGGAGGGUGCGAGCGUUAAUCGGAAUUACUGGGCGUAAAGCGCGCGUAGGCGGUCUGAUAAGCCGGUUGUGAAAGCCCCGGGCUCAACCUGGGAACGGCAUCCGGAACUGUCAGGCUAGAGUGCAGGAGAGGAAGGUAGAAUUCCCGGUGUAGCGGUGAAAUGCGUAGAGAUCGGGAGGAAUACCGGUGGCGAAGGCGGCCUUCUGGACUGACACUGACGCUGAGGUGCGAAAGCGUGGGUAGCAAACAGGAUUAGAUACCCUAGUAGUC